Molecule: long non-coding RNA, 931 nt
Organism: Lycium barbarum (goji berry)
Lineage: Eukaryota; Viridiplantae; Streptophyta; Magnoliopsida; Solanales; Solanaceae
Exons: 3
Source: RefSeq, a predicted model, not a curated record
AAUGCGAUCCAUCCAAUAUUGUCAUCAACCACGAUGGACGUCGUCGAAGGGAGCAAGUUUAGAGACAAGAUCAAGACACAAUGAGGCAAUUCUCUUUACCACAAACAUAGGAUGGAAAUAAAGCUCCUCCUUUGAAGAAGUACUGGAAUAUAUGAAGAAUAAAGAAUAGCAAGGAAAGAAUCCAACUAAGCAAUGUGAAUCUCCUUUACUCAAACACAAGCAUUUUGGUGGAGUAGCCAAGUCAACUCCAGUUUUUCCAGAUUAUCGAUUAGGAGUUUGGCUGGGUUAAGAGCUAAAUGCUCAUUUGGCACUUCCUUACAAGAUAAUGACGACUUAAGUGCAUGGCUCAAAGAGAACAUGUAUUGUUUUUGGGAGAGGGAACUGAAGAAACAGAGUUGAAGGAUACGUAGGUGACGCAUUGCUAACUCGGAUGUCUAUUGUCUUUCUUGGAUUCUUUGGCGAGUCAUUCGGCAAAUCCAAUUCCGAUAACACGUGACUUUGACCGGAUAAAUAGUUAUCCAUUGAUAGACAUCUUUCUUUAGAAAGAUAAUCCUGGAUGGAUGUUUUUUUCGUUGGCUAUGUGCGGAUGUUGUCAUGGUUGUAAAGAUUGUAACAUUUGGAAAUCAUUCAACAUAAUGUUUUCUCCCAAAAUAUAUGUAAAUAAUUGUUAACAAUUAGUAUGAUAUGUUGUCUAUAUUAAAUUUCAGAAUUACUUGUAUGUUCACUUCUCUGCAAUUAUACAAAAAAAAAAAAAAAAAAACAAUUUUUAUAAUAUUGGGCCCGUGCUAGCGUAGGCCAUCACUAUCUAGUUUUAGUAGAAGUCCCUAACUUGAAUAGUUAUUGGACUUGACUUGGAAAGCAGUUACAAGCCCAAACUUUUAAUAUGGACUGCGUAAUUUGAACAAUUUUUUUUGGCGCAGAUUGACCUUCA